This 411-nucleotide unclassified non-coding RNA is filed under the name uncultured Cortinarius. Its description in RNAcentral is "sequence contains ITS2". The stretch from base 1 to 154 matches the Rfam family "5.8S ribosomal RNA". The record is from RNAcentral. Lineage: Eukaryota; Fungi; Basidiomycota; Agaricomycetes; Agaricales; Cortinariaceae.
AACUUUUAGCAAUGGAUCUCUUGGCUCUCGCAUCGAUGAAGAACGCAGCGAAUUGCGAUGAGUAAUGUGAAUUGCAGAAUUCAGUGAAUCAUCGAAUCUUUGAACGCACCUUGCGCUCCUAGGUAUUCCGAGGAGCAUGCCUGUUUGAGUGUCAUUAAUAUAUAAAUCAACCCUCUCUUGAUGAGUGGUUUGGAUGUGGGGGUUUGCUGGCGGCCUCUUGGAGGAUUGAUUCAGCUCCCCUGAAAUGCAUUAGCAGAACAAACCCGUUCAUUGGUGUGAUAACUAGCUACGCUAUUGAAUGUGAGGUGGCAGUUCAGCUUUCUAACAGUCUUUGGACAAAUUCAUCAUUAAUGUGGCCUCAAAUCAGGUAGGACUACCCGCUGAACUUAAGCAUAUCAAUAAGCGGAGGCU